AUUGAACGCUGGCGGCAGGCCUAACACAUGCAAGUCGAGCGGAUGAAGGGAGCUUGCUCCUGGCUUCAGCGGCGGACGGGUGAGUAAUGCCUAGGAAUCUGCCUGGUAGUGGGGGAUAACGUCCGGAAACGGGCGCUAAUCCCGCAUACGUCCUGAGGGAGAAAGUGGGGGAUCUUCGGACCACACGCUAUCAGCUGAGCCUAGGUCGGAUUAGCUAGUUGGUGGGGUAAAGGCCUACCAAGGCGACGAUCCGUAACUGGUCUGAGAGGAUGAUCAGUCACACUGGAACUGAGACACGGUCCAGACUCCUACGGGAGGCAGCAGUGGGGAAUAUUGGACAAUGGGCGAAAGCCUGAUCCAGCCAUGCCGCGUGUGUGAAGAAGGUCUUCGGAUUGUAAAGCACUUUAAGUUGGGAGGAAGGGCAGUAAGUUAAUACCUUGCUGUUUUGACGUUACCAACAGAAUAAGCACCGGCUAACUUCGUG
This 484-nucleotide ribosomal RNA is filed under the name uncultured bacterium. Its description in RNAcentral is "partial 16S ribosomal RNA". It matches the Rfam family "Bacterial small subunit ribosomal RNA", at positions 30 to 507 of the family's 1533-position model. The record is from RNAcentral.